GAUGAAGAACGUAGCGAAACGCGAUAUGUAAUGUGAAUUGCAGAAUUCAGUGAAUCAUCGAAUCUUUGAACGCACCUUGCGCCCCUUGGUAUUCCGAGGGGCAUGCCUGUUCGAGCGUCAUUUACCCCCUCAAGCUCCGCUUGGUGUUGGGCGUCUGUCCCGCUUCGCGCGCGGACUCGCCCCAAAGGUAUUGGCAGCGGUCGUGCCAGCUUCUCGCGCAGCACAUUGCGCUUCUCGAGGCACCGGUGGGCCCGCGUCCAUCAAGCUCACCCCCCCAGUUUGACCUCGGAUCAGGUAGGGAUACCCGCUGAACUUAAGCAUAUCAAUAAGCGGAGGA
RNAcentral lists this unclassified non-coding RNA (337 nucleotides) under soil metagenome. Its description in RNAcentral is "partial contains 5.8S ribosomal RNA, internal transcribed spacer 2, and large subunit ribosomal RNA". The stretch from base 1 to 120 matches the Rfam family "5.8S ribosomal RNA", at positions 35 to 154 of the family's 154-position model. The record is from RNAcentral.